Molecule: long non-coding RNA, 363 nt
Organism: Oreochromis aureus
Lineage: Eukaryota; Metazoa; Chordata; Actinopteri; Cichliformes; Cichlidae
Exons: 3
Source: RefSeq, a predicted model, not a curated record
CUCCCUCCCUCCCUCCCUCCGCCUCUUUGUCCUGCUUACAUGUUUAAUAGUGGAGACGGCUGGCUCAUCGCAGCUGUCCAGACAACACUUUGUGCUGCUGUGGGAACAAAUAAAGACAGAAAAAAAGAGACAGAAUGACUUCCUGUCCGUUCAGUCCGGACUCAUCAGCAGUGCAGCAACAUGAGAGUGGAACCAAGAGGGGAACUCCUGUACAGUGAAUCUGAGAGACUCAACCAUAUCUCAAACCAACCAGCAAAGAAAAACCCUCAAACAUGAAGAUCCAACACCUGCAGUUCCUCUGCCAUCCAGCAGAGGCUCCAGCACAACAUGAGGCAGCUCGUGUAUCGGAUGUUACCAAACGAA